GCCGGGCCUCCUGCUCGGAGGUGACCGAGAAGGAGAUGAACCUGCUGAAUACGUGGAGAACGCCUGCAACUUGAGAAGAAGAGGAAAUCAGUUAAAAAUGAGUGGAGGAAAAGGCUGAAACAGAUUCCACAUACAGGAGAAACUUGAAAUACUUGUCUUUCUGAGUCUGGCUUACUGUGUUUAACACGGUGAUCUCCAGUGAAGCUGGAAUUACUAACACUGUGAAGCCUGGAGAAGGGGCCUCCAGACCUGGUAUCCAGGCUCCUGAGUAGGAGACAGCAUCUGACUAUGUAGCCCAGGUUGGUUUUGAACUCACAACCUUCCUGCCUCACGCUCCAGAGUGCUAAGACUACAGCACCCUCAGCACAGCAGCUCAGAUUCCUGGUGGAUGAAAUAGUGGUUCUAGGCAUCUUUUGCAGUUAUGACAACAUUUUGGGGGAAAGGAGGAUGCUUUGGUUCUGAACAUUAUUUUUAUCUCUAAUGGCUGCUCUACUGAAAAUGAUGUUGCUCUGAAAGCCUGUCUUCUGUCACAGGGAACACUACACAAUACUCUCUGGGAUGUCACACAGUUGACUUACUUUGGCCAUUUCUCUCUUGGGAAGACGUUUCUUCGUUAUUUGACCUUGAUCUGUAACUUUCUACGGUGUGUUCUGAAAUGUCAUUUUCUGCAAGAAAAGAAGAUCAAAUUACUGAUUUCUGAUGCCACAGAUAUCACCUACAUGUUGAAAUGAGUUCCCUGCAGGCACUGUCAAGGCACCAGAAGAGCUGUGGAGGGGAAAUGACGGCAGAAGAGAAGCAAGUAUUGUCCUUCAGGAAGGGACAAUUGAAAUAUUCCCCAAAGAGUGAUGGAGGAAAUAACUGCCUGAAUGACAGCGCACGUCGAGCUCAUGCGGCAGCAAAUGGAGAGCUCGAAUGGGUAGGAUUCUCUUCUAGUCGAGGCGAUUCUCUCAGCAUCUGACAGCCUCCCUCAGGCCACACCCACUCACCUUUCUUCCAGACCACGUGUGCCUUCCGAAGCUUCAUUAUAAAGAGCUGCACUAUGACAAAGAGGAUGAAGAUGAGGAAGGACACAAGUGUGAGCAACAGGAUGCCGCUUUUCUUCCUGGCCAAUCCUAGAUGCUGAGGCUUUGCUUCUCUUCCUUCUUGGUGAACCAUGGUUAACUGAAAGCAUGGAGAGCAAAGCCAUCGAUGAAAGGGGACUACUAGACGGACUACAAGCUAAAAUAAACUCUGUGAUUACAAAGAUGCCAGGAAAGUUGAAGAAAGAGGAGGGCUGUUGGCAAUGAAAAGAGGGAGAAGAUUGAAAGCUGGUCAAAUAGAACUAUUGGAAGCACAUCAUAGUGCCUAAUAUGGGAAAUUCUGAGGACACACAGAAUAAAAUCAUUACUAAUAGUCAAAGUCUUCUAACACAGUGUUUACAUAGUGUGAAUUUGGAAAAUUUUAUAUUUAU
This is a long non-coding RNA of Fukomys damarensis (Damara mole-rat), 1450 nucleotides long. RefSeq lists it as uncharacterized. NCBI's taxonomy places the organism in Eukaryota, Metazoa, Chordata, Mammalia, Rodentia, Bathyergidae. The record is from RefSeq and is a predicted model, not a curated record. The transcript is spliced from 9 exons.